AAAUUGAAGAGUUUGAUCAUGGCUCAGAUUGAACGCUGGCGGCAGGCCUAACACAUGCAAGUCGAACGGUAACAGGAAGCAGCUUGCUGUUUCGCUGACGAGUGGCGGACGGGUGAGUAAUGUCUGGGGAACUGCCUGAUGGAGGGGGAUAACUACUGGAAACGGUAGCUAAUACCGCAUAACGUCGCAAGA
This 192-nucleotide ribosomal RNA is filed under the name Shigella flexneri. RNAcentral describes it as "partial 16S ribosomal RNA". It matches the Rfam family "Bacterial small subunit ribosomal RNA", at positions 1 to 186 of the family's 1533-position model. Lineage: Bacteria; Pseudomonadati; Pseudomonadota; Gammaproteobacteria; Enterobacterales; Enterobacteriaceae. The record is from RNAcentral.